AAAUAUAACAAAAAUUGAAUUGUUUCAUUAGAGAACUAUAAAGUCUGUUAUUUAAGAGGAAACUGUUGUGCUGUUCAAAAGCAGGAAAGAAUUGUUGAAGGACUCUAUCUUCGUACAUUGGUUGCCAACCAAGUCUCCUAAUACCUAGGAAGUUAUCAGUCAUGUCAAUGCAUUGAAUUUAGAUUUUUUAAGCUAAAAAAGGAAAGUGAAUUAUUCUAAGAAGUUCUCCUUUCUCCUCAAUAUGGGAAAAAGGCCAUUUUUGUUGUUUGGGGCCUGUUGUGGGAAAACAGGAGGGUUGUUUGAUGAGGAGUCCCCACCUGUAAGUGUGUGUCACCAGACAGCAGGAACUUCUGGGUCAUCCCACGCUGCGGAGUGAGAGCAAACAGUGUCACCGUCCCUGUAGGGGGCUGCAUCGCCUGAUACGUGGAAGCUGAAGGUUAGCUAGGCUCCCUCCUUCAGUCUCCUGAUGGUGUCACGCCUGUGCCCCAUGCCCUGAAACACAGUGUUCCCUGAGACACAGCGUGAGAGGGGCUGCUGCAGGUAGCUUAUGUGAGAAAUGAUGCCAGGGAGCAGAAGUCAGGAGCAGGGAGAGGAAGGCAGGGGAGGGAAGCAAGGAGCCCUAAGAAAUGGAUUUAGGAGCUGUCUGCUUUUCCCUGGAGGGGUGAAGACUUUUCCAUGAUUCCAUCUCCCAUUUGGCAAGGGCCCCUGAGAUGAGUCUUGGGGUGUCAGAGCCUAGAGGCCUCAUCAGGGACCAUCCCCUGCUUUAAAUCGGUCUUUCAUGUGGCAGGGUUGACCAGCAGGGCAUGGGCACAUUCAUCAAUAUUUGCUAGAGCGGCGGGGCCAUUGUGGCACACGCACAACACCAGGUUCACAGGCACAAAUCAUGUGAAAGCAAAUUCAUCUUUCUUCUGACGGGGCCACUAGACUGGUAGGUCAAGGAAAUGCUGGAGCCACAGUGGUUGCAUCUGGCACAGUCUCUCGUGAUGAUAUCCUUGUGUACAAAAUAAAGGCAUGUGGGCCAGAGGUGGUUGGGGUGGCCGUUCCCUGGCAGGUCCAGGGAAUACACCCAACAAAGGCUGGUCUAAGCCAUGGCCAGCAGCGGCUUUCACAGACACUUCUGGUGCUGAGCUGCGAGCCUUAACUGUGUCCUGCUCAGUGGUAAACCACACGUUUUGAAGGACAGUCAGGAUCAGGAGCCGAAAGGGCCUCACAGCACAGGUUAGAAGAAAAGGCUGAACAAGACAGAAGGCCAUUUUAUUUUCUAAUUUUUAUUUAUUUUUCAUUGUAUAUUUUUAAGGCAUGCAACAUGAUGUUUUGAUAUAUGUAUGCAUAGUGAAGUGAAUGCCACAGUCCAGCCAGUUAACAUAUCUGCUAUCUCAUGUCAUCACCGUCUUUUGCAAUAAAAGUGCCUAAAAUUGACUCUCUUGCCAAAUAUCCAGAGUAUAAAAUACAAUAUUCUUAUCUAUUAAUGUCUACAAUAUUAUUAUCAUAUUGUAUUAGAAUGACAUUUUAAAAGGUUAAAUAAAAAGGCUCUUCACUUGGGCUCAAAGAAUUAACUGCACUAGUACCCCAAGGGUGCCAUGGCGCUUAGUAGCAGUGAGGAUGACGAGAAUCCAGGGCUUAGGGCAGGAGGUGGUUUUCAUAUGUUUGUUCCGUCCAUCUUUGGCUACAUUAUGGUGGAAUAUUUCCUAGAAUGCUGCACUGCCUCGCCUUCUCUGGGCUAGGGUAACCACUUUUGGAGUACUGGCAUUCAGUUUUAGGCAUCAUAUUUAAGAAGACAAAGACAGAAUAGACCCAAAGCACAGGGACCAGAUUGCAAAAGGCCCUGACACUGCCUCCAGAAGAAUGACAGAGAACCUAGAGGGUUCACAGCUACUAUCGACUCUGAGGACCAAGGAAAACAGGGCAAAGCUUGUGUUGUAAGACUACAAGGGCAGAAGUGGGGUGGAAACUAAGAAAUUCUCCAGCAUUCAGAGCUGUCCAAGGCAGGAUGGGCUGUCCUGGGAAGCAAUGAGAUCUCAUCACUCAGAAGCUUGGAAGUAAACUGGGCCUGCACCUGCUGCAUGUGGAAACAGUGCUUUAAGUAUUUUAGGGCUGGUUUGUCUGGGCCAUUCCUCCAAACCCUGGGAUUCUAUGAGUCCAUGACGAGUCAAGAAACUGAGGAUCUAACCUUAGCUUUGCCACAAACUAUCUUAGUGACCUUAAGCAGAACAUUUCAAUCCUCUCCAUCUCAUUUUUAUCCUCUGCUAAAAUAAGAAGUUGGACAGGAUUCCCUACAAUGUUUCAUUAAUUCAUAUAUUCUACCACCUUUAUCACCAUGUGCUGCAGUCUCUGCAAAGUGCUGAUAGUUUGUGAUCUCCUCCUUCUUUCAUGUACACCAAGAAAGGGGUUUAGGAGAUAAUGUCUUAACUGACAUUGUAAGACCUGCACC
Molecule: long non-coding RNA, 2431 nt
Filed under: Homo sapiens (human)
Lineage: Eukaryota; Metazoa; Chordata; Mammalia; Primates; Hominidae
Description: non-protein coding LINC01394:37
Source: RNAcentral